RNAcentral lists this ribosomal RNA (492 nucleotides) under uncultured bacterium. RNAcentral's name for it is "partial 16S ribosomal RNA". It matches the Rfam family "Bacterial small subunit ribosomal RNA", at positions 30 to 507 of the family's 1533-position model. The record is from RNAcentral.
AUUGAACGCUGGCGGCAUGCUUUACACAUGCAAGUCGAACGGUAACAGGCCUUCGGGUGCUGACGAGUGGCGAACGGGUGAGUAAUGCAUCGGAACGUGCCCAGAGGUGGGGGAUAACGCAGCGAAAGCUGUGCUAAUACCGCAUGUGAUCUGAGGAUGAAAGCGGGGGACCAAGCAGCAAUGUUUGGCCUCGCGCCUCUGGAGCGGCCGAUGUCAGAUUAGGUAGUUGGUGGGGUAAAGGCCUACCAAGCCGACGAUCUGUAGCUGGUCUGAGAGGACGACCAGCCACACUGGGACUGAGACACGGCCCAGACUCCUACGGGAGGCAGCAGUGGGGAAUUUUGGACAAUGGGCGCAAGCCUGAUCCAGCAAUGCCGCGUGCGGGAAGAAGGCCUUCGGGUUGUAAACCGCUUUUGUACGGAACGAAAAGGCUCUGGCUAAUACCUGGGGCUGAUGACGGUACCGUAAGAAUAAGCACCGGCUAGCUACGUG